CUGCAGCCCGAGUGGUGAUCGAUUUUAUUGAGCCUGAAGCGUCCGUAGCCGGACUAGUAAACCCUUGGGUAAAUUGGGCAGCUUAACUGUCCAAAUUCCGAGGGGACUGCUAGUCUUGGGACCGGGAGAGGUCAGAGGUACUCAAGGGGUAGGGGCUAAAUCCUGUAAUCCUUUGGGGACCACCAGUGGCGAAGGCGUCUGACUAGAACGGAUCCGACGGUAAGGGACGAAACCCUGGGGCGCGAACCGGAUUAGAGACCCGUGUAGUCC
RNAcentral lists this ribosomal RNA (270 nucleotides) under uncultured archaeon. Its description in RNAcentral is "partial 16S ribosomal RNA". It matches the Rfam family "Archaeal small subunit ribosomal RNA", at positions 477 to 747 of the family's 1478-position model. The record is from RNAcentral.